Molecule: ribosomal RNA, 898 nt
Filed under: human gut metagenome
Description: bacterial SSU rRNA
Rfam family: Bacterial small subunit ribosomal RNA
Source: RNAcentral
AGGAUGAACGCUGGCGGCGUGCCUAAUACAUGCAAGUCGAACGAAUCUUCUUCGGAAGAUGAGUGGCGAACGGGUGAGUAAUACAUAGGUAACCUGCCCCUGUGCGGGGGAUAACAGGAGGAAACUCCUGCUAAUACCGCAUAGCCAUGAGCACCGCAUGGAGCUCAUGCCAAAUAUCCUUUCGGGGAUAGCGCAGGGAUGGACCUAUGGCGCAUUAGCUUGUUGGCGGGGCAACGGCCCACCAAGGCAACGAUGCGUAGCCGGCCUGAGAGGGCGGACGGCCACAUUGGGACUGAGACACGGCCCAGACUCCUACGGGAGGCAGCAGUAGGGAAUUUUCGGCAAUGGGGGAAACCCUGACCGAGCAACGCCGCGUGAGCGAAGAAGGCCUUCGGGUCGUAAAGCUCUGUUGUAAAGGAAGAACGGCGCAUACAGGAAAUGGUAUGCGAGUGACGGUACUUUACCAGAAAGCCACGGCUAACUACGUGCCAGCAGCCGCGGUAAUACGUAGGUGGCGAGCGUUAUCCGGAAUCAUUGGGCGUAAAGAGGGAGCAGGCGGCCGCAAGGGUCUGUGGUGAAAGACCGAAGCUAAACUUCGGUAAGCCAUGGAAACCGGGCGGCUAGAGUGCGGAAGAGGAUCGUGGAAUUCCAUGUGUAGCGGUGAAAUGCGUAGAUAUAUGGAGGAACACCAGUGGCGAAGGCGACGGUCUGGGCCGCAACUGACGCUCAUUCCCGAAAGCGUGGGGAGCAAAUAGGAUUAGAUACCCUAGUAGUCCACGCCGUAAACGAUGGUCACUAAGUGUCGGGGGUCAAACCCCGGUGCUGCAGUCAACGCAAUAAGUGACCCGCCUGAGUAGUACGUUCGCAAGAAUGAAACUCAAAGGAAUUGACGGGGGCC